GGGGCUGGGGCUCGGUGCUGGAGCGCUCGCCUGGCACGUGAGAGGCCCUGGGUUCGAACCUCAGCACCA
RNAcentral lists this transfer RNA (69 nucleotides) under Ictidomys tridecemlineatus (thirteen-lined ground squirrel). Its description in RNAcentral is "Spermophilus tridecemlineatus (thirteen-lined ground squirrel) tRNA". It matches the Rfam family "tRNA". Rfam says of the family: Transfer RNA (tRNA) molecules are approximately 80 nucleotides in length. Their secondary structure includes four short double-helical elements and three loops (D, anti-codon, and T loops). Further hydrogen bonds mediate the characteristic L-shaped molecular structure. tRNAs have two regions of fundamental functional importance: the anti-codon, which is responsible for specific mRNA codon recognition, and the 3' end, to which the tRNAs corresponding amino acid is attached (by aminoacyl-tRNA synthetases). tRNAs cope with the degeneracy of the genetic code in two manners: having more than one tRNA (with a specific anti-codon) for a particular amino acid; and 'wobble' base-pairing, i.e. permitting non-standard base-pairing at the 3rd anti-codon position. Lineage: Eukaryota; Metazoa; Chordata; Mammalia; Rodentia; Sciuridae. The record is from Rfam by way of RNAcentral.